Molecule: ribosomal RNA, 405 nt
Filed under: uncultured bacterium
Lineage: Bacteria
Description: partial 16S ribosomal RNA
Rfam family: Bacterial small subunit ribosomal RNA
Source: RNAcentral
GAUGAACGCUGGCGGCGUGCCUAAUACAUGCAAGUCGAGCGAAGCGGGGACGGGGGAGUAACACGUGGAUAACCUCCUAUAAGGAUGGGGUAACUUCGGGAAACCGGUGCUAAAACCGAUACUUAUACAUGGAUCUGCUCUGCAUUAGCUAGUGGGUAAGGUAACGGCUUACCAAGGCCACGAUGCAUAGCCGACCUGAGAGGGUGAUCGGCCACACUGGAACUGAGACACGGUCCAGACUCCUACGGGAGGCAGCAGUGGGGAAUCUUCCGCAAUGGGCGAAAGCCUGACGGAGCAACGCCGCGUGAGUGAUGAAGGUCUUCGGAUCGUAAAACUCUUUUAUUAGGGAAGCGGUACCUAAUCAGAAAGCCACGGCUAACUACGUGCCAGCCGCCGCGGUAAUUC